Molecule: ribosomal RNA, 330 nt
Filed under: uncultured bacterium
Lineage: Bacteria
Description: bacterial SSU rRNA
Rfam family: Bacterial small subunit ribosomal RNA
Source: RNAcentral
CGCGUAGGUGGUAGUGUAAGUCUGGGGUGGAAUCCCAGGGCUUAACCCUGAAACUGCCUUGGAAACUGUAUUACUUGAGUCAGUGAGGGGAGGGUAGAAUUCCUGGUGUAGCGGUGAAAUGCGUAGAUAUCAGGAGGAAGGCCUGUGGCGAAGGCGGCCCUCUGGCGCUGGACUGACACUGAGGCGCGAAAGCGUGGGGAGCAAACAGGAUUAGAUACCCUGGUAGUCCACGCCCUAAACGGUGGGCACUAGGUGUAGGGCUCGUAAGGGUUCUGUGCCGAAGGGAAACCAUUAAGUGCCCCGCCUGGGGAGUACGGCCGCAAGGUUGAA